GGGGAGAGGACGGUCUGUGUGUUUGGAGAGGGUAUUCUCCUCCAGAAGCUGGCAGAUCGUGGCUUGGACAGAUACAUUCUUGGCUGGUGCCGCCGCCAGGCUCCAGAAGUGGGUGUCAGCCCAUAUGGCGGGAGGUUCCUGCAGCUGCAGGCCCCGAACAGGGUCCAAUAAGGAAUAUUGCUCUUUGGAACCUCUUUGGUGCCCAGGCUUGCUUAUCUUGUCUGCCCUCACCCACCUUUCCUGGGGCUGCCAGGCCUCUGGCUCCAGUCAGAUCUGUCUGCAUUGAGAUGGACAGAGCAGCGCUUCCCCUGUGCCUCCUGCCAGAAGGUGCAGCACUGCUGCCAUGGGCUGCUCUCCACACCCUGGGGGUUACCUGAUGACCCUGUUCCAGAGAUGCUGCCCUCAACAUGGAAGCAGCUGAAGAACAAACCUUUUACCACCUCUUGUCAACAGCUUUGGCUCCAAGGGUCAGACAAGCAAAGGGACCUUCAGACUGAACUUCCUUCUUCACAGUGCUGCCCAGCUCUUUCUUGGCCCUGAAGAAAGCCUCACUGAAGUCACAGAGAAGCAAUAACCUCUUCACUAAAAGCGUAAAGUUAAACCAACCCAGCAUGAACGCUCUCUUGGAAGUGAGAGUAUUUUGGAGGCCAGCUGCUUUUAUUUCCCAAUAUGCCUUGUCUGAGCAAAGAGCCUCUGUAGAGGCAGAGCAGUCCCAGUGCUGAGGCAGGACACAGCUGAAACGUAGACAGCACUGUCCUGCCAGCACGAUCCUGGGGGCAUUGCAGGGCACCAGGGAAGGGGAUGGGGGUGCUUUGCUCCAGGGCCCCUUGUCACUUAGCCCAGGAGGCAUUGGCUUUGGAUGGCAUCAGACAGCUGCUCUGGAUCUUCCCAUGAGAUGGAAGCAGCUAUCCCUGCCCCUGGAUAAGGAGGCUUACACCCAGUGAAAACCCACGUGGAACCCAUAGCAGUAGGGCUGCUGCUCAAUUUCCACCCCUUUCUGCCCCACUCCCCCCAUGGGAAAGCACAACCAUUCCUCCAGUGCCAGGAGAGACCACAGCAUGGAUGUUACCAUUGCACAUGGGCACAUUUUAUUCUCUGAAUGCACCAUUUCUGCUCUACAGCCAAAGCUUUAUUGAUUCAAAACCAGUAGCCUUCUCCCCCCUCCCCCCCCUUACAUUUUUUGCCUGCAUAUCCCCUUUACCACCUCUCACUCACUCUUAGAUUUCCAAUUUGAGUAUUGUACCUGCUUGGAUUUUGUUUUCUCAGAGGAAGCCAACUGACAACUCAUUCUUUUCUUUUUUUUCUUUUUUUUUUUUUUCCCCUCCCAAGAACUAUAUAAAUUACAUGCAAAACAUUGUACAUAGAGAUUAAUAUCAAAAUGCAAUACAGGUCAGGUGCACUUUAAGCUGGACUCUAGGAUAUGGCAAACACACCAGGGUACAUACUGUUUUGAAACCACUUUUUUUUUUUUUUUUUUUUGGUUAAUGUCAUGCAUACCA
Gallus gallus (chicken) is the source of this 1499-nucleotide long non-coding RNA. RefSeq lists it as uncharacterized. The record is from RefSeq and is a predicted model, not a curated record. NCBI's taxonomy places the organism in Eukaryota, Metazoa, Chordata, Aves, Galliformes, Phasianidae. The transcript has 4 exons.